AUUUUCUGAUACAGAAAAUACACAAUUAGUUAUUCUCAUACGUAUCAGAUACGCUUCUAAGAGAUCCGAUAGAUUCAUCACACCACACACAUAUAUGAUUCAAACUGCAAGCAGCUCUAGAUACACUCUAGAUAACUUGAAUGCACGACGAUCCACAUCACACUCGAUCACCUUAUUCCUCGCAAAUUCCUAUAUUUUAAUCGGCAAAAAAUGAAAUAUUGAAGAACAUGACUGCAUUACACAAAAGGUUAGCAAUUUUCGUACGGAGAACGC
RNAcentral lists this long non-coding RNA (273 nucleotides) under Setaria viridis. RNAcentral describes it as "long non-coding RNA (SVIR_LNC002445)". The record is from RNAcentral. Lineage: Eukaryota; Viridiplantae; Streptophyta; Magnoliopsida; Poales; Poaceae.